AAAACACAUUUCAAAAAAACACAACAUUAACCUACCGGAAAAGGUAGGUACCAGUGGAAAACAUGAGACAUUGCUGAUUGGUCGACCGCGCUGUUGGACGGACCACAGUUCUUGUUCCGCCCAUAUCGAGGAUGCAUCAAUGCAUCCUUCUGCGGAAUUGGGUAAGCUAGGUUUCCCAUAAUGCACUCACCAGCAGCAGUCAAUGGAGAAGACAGCUCUGCAGGAGAGAAAGCACACUUCCAGGUUUGGAUGCAUUUUCCCACAAGCUCCCAGGGAUCUUCACCAUCAUGUCCGGCUGUGGUCUGCUCCACUGUCUCCUCAUCUUAUUUUACAUUUUAAAUUAUAUUAAAUAGGUUAUGAUUAGACAGUCAACUUACCAACUUCCUGGCUGAUUAUCUUUUUUUUUUUUUGUUAUUCCAAUAAAGAUUUUACUACAAACA
This is a long non-coding RNA of Girardinichthys multiradiatus, 440 nucleotides long. RefSeq lists it as uncharacterized. NCBI's taxonomy places the organism in Eukaryota, Metazoa, Chordata, Actinopteri, Cyprinodontiformes, Goodeidae. The transcript is spliced from 2 exons. The record is from RefSeq and is a predicted model, not a curated record.